GACUCCGUGAAUCUGGAUUCGCUAGUAAUCGCGCAUCAGCCAUGGCGCGGUGAAUACGUUCCCGGGCCUUGUACACACCGCCCGUCAAGCCAUGGAAGCCGGGGGUGCCUGAAGUGUGCAGCCGCAAGGAGCGCCCUAAGGUAAAACCGGUGACUGGGGCUAAGUCGUAACAAGGUACC
RNAcentral lists this ribosomal RNA (179 nucleotides) under uncultured bacterium. RNAcentral's name for it is "partial 16S ribosomal RNA". It matches the Rfam family "Bacterial small subunit ribosomal RNA", at positions 1314 to 1500 of the family's 1533-position model. The record is from RNAcentral.